RNAcentral lists this long non-coding RNA (539 nucleotides) under Elaeis guineensis (African oil palm). RNAcentral's name for it is "long non-coding RNA (EGUI_LNC012047)". The record is from RNAcentral. Lineage: Eukaryota; Viridiplantae; Streptophyta; Magnoliopsida; Arecales; Arecaceae.
ACCCUGAUUCUCUCCAACUCGUUCGACAUCAUUUCUACACCAAACCAUGGUAAAUUAGUUCAAAUACACACACACACACACACACACACACACACACACACACUAAAGAAAAUCCAACACUCACCUCGAGCAUCAACCUAGCUAAGCUUGACAUUAAAGAGUAUCUACUCCGAUAGUAGUUCCUUCAAUGGCGGGACCUUGUACCCAACCAAGAUAUUAUAAUUUCAAAACUCCUCAUCCCCCAAAGUUAGAGCUGAAAGAAUCGAUUUUCUAGGUUGGCCCCAUGGGGAAUAAACCUCUCCUUCCAAUUAUGAACCGAGGAAGGAAUACCUCAGACCAAAGGAGAAACUCCUCUCUGAGGAUACCACUAAUCACCUGCAUAUGGGUGUCCUUUGAAAGUGAAACACACCCUAAAAAGGGUGAUGGUAAGCUAAACUUUAGUCAAGAAACAAAAGAUUGUAAAGCUGUGGAUAAAUCACCACAAGUUUAGUACAAUCGAACUUAGUUAUAUGUUAAGAAAAUAAAAAAAGAUGCAUGAA